GAUGAACGCUGGCGGCGUGCCUAAUACAUGCAAGUCGAGCGAACAGAUGAGGAGCUUGCUCCUCUGACGUUAUCGGCGGACGGGAUAGUAACACGUGGAUAACCUACCUAUAAGACUGGGAUAACUUCGGGAAACCGGAGCUAAUACCGGAUAAUAUAUUGAAGCACAUUGUUCAAUAGUGAAAUACGGUUUUGCUGUCACUUAUAGAUGAAUACGCGCCGCAUUAGUAAGUUGGUAAGGUAACGGCUUACCAAGGCAACGAUGCGUAGCCGACCUGAGAGGGAGAUCGGCCAGCCUGGAAAUGAGACAGGGCCCAGACUCCGACGGUAGGACGCAGUCGGGAAUCUUCCGCGAUGGGGGAGAGCCUGAUGGAGCAACGCCGCGGGAGUGAUGAAGGUCUCCGGAUGGGAAAGCUAUGUUAUUAGUGGAGAUCAAAUGUGCAAGUAACUAUGACCAUCUUGACGGUACCUAAUCAGAAAGCCACGGCUAACUACGUG
This 497-nucleotide ribosomal RNA is filed under the name uncultured bacterium. RNAcentral describes it as "partial 16S ribosomal RNA". It matches the Rfam family "Bacterial small subunit ribosomal RNA", at positions 28 to 507 of the family's 1533-position model. The record is from RNAcentral.